AUUGAACGCUGGCGGUAUGCUUAAGACAUGCAAGUCGAACGGUAACAGACCUUCGGGUGCUGACGAGUGGCGGACGGGUGAGUAACACGUGGGAAUCUACCUUGUAGUGGGGGAUAAGCCAGGGAAACUUGGACUAAUACCGCAUACGCCCUAAGGGGGAAAGGAGCAAUUCGCUAUAAGAUGAGCCCGCGUCUGAUUAGCUAGUUGGUGAGGUAAAGGCUCGCCAAGGCGACGAUCAGUAGCUGGUCUGAGAGGAUGACCAGCCACAUUGGGACUGAGACACGGCCCAGACUCCUACGGGAGGCAGCAGUCGGGAAUAUUGGACAAUGGGGGCAACCCUGAUCCAGCAAUACCGCGUGUGUGAAGAAGGCCUGCGGGUUGUAAAGCACUUUUAGUAGGGAAGAUAAUGACGUUACCUACAGAAAAGCACCGGCUAACUCCGUGCCAGCAGCCGCGGUAAGGU
RNAcentral lists this ribosomal RNA (463 nucleotides) under uncultured bacterium. RNAcentral's name for it is "bacterial SSU rRNA". It matches the Rfam family "Bacterial small subunit ribosomal RNA", at positions 30 to 526 of the family's 1533-position model. The record is from RNAcentral.